Molecule: long non-coding RNA, 278 nt
Organism: Cydia amplana
Lineage: Eukaryota; Metazoa; Arthropoda; Insecta; Lepidoptera; Tortricidae
Exons: 2
Source: RefSeq, a predicted model, not a curated record
UGCACGGUAUAAAAUCAAAUAUUUUAAAAUAUUUUGUAAACGACUACAGUUAUGACUACGGUUAUUAUGAAACAAUAAUAGCACGUUUAAUACUCUUUCAAACGACACCUCACACGAACCGAUCGGUCCCAUAGGACUCAAGAUGUGAACAAAUAUCAAUAAUGGGGGGGGGGGAACACAUUUUACCACUUUGGAAGUGUCUCUCGCGCAAACUAUUCAGUUUAGAAAAAAUGAUAUUAGAAACCUCAAUAUCAUUUUUGAAGACCUAUCCAUAGUUA